This is a long non-coding RNA of Labeo rohita (rohu), 171 nucleotides long. RefSeq lists it as uncharacterized. Lineage: Eukaryota; Metazoa; Chordata; Actinopteri; Cypriniformes; Cyprinidae. The transcript has 3 exons. The record is from RefSeq and is a predicted model, not a curated record.
CCUAAACCAGCUUGGACCAGCUAGAAACUACUGAAAAAUAGCCAUCAAUUGGUUUAUUUUCGAUUGUCCAGCAAGGGAAGCAUUUCAAGUCACUCUCCACCAGCGCAUUUGGGAUUUUUGACAGGUAAUCCAGUCCUGGAGAGUCUGAUAUACAGAACAAGAGACGGUUAG